RNAcentral lists this ribosomal RNA (2095 nucleotides) under metagenome. RNAcentral describes it as "bacterial LSU rRNA". The stretch from base 562 to 2095 matches the Rfam family "Bacterial large subunit ribosomal RNA", at positions 1 to 1977 of the family's 2925-position model. The record is from RNAcentral.
AUGUUUUAAUCUGGCCCUUAAUCGUGUUUUUGCUCUCUUUAAUGGCUAUGGUGGUUGGAAAUACCCUGCGUUUAUUUCAUUUAAGCCAUCAGGAAGAAGUAGAAAUUUUAAGUUUGAUCGGUGCAAGCAGGGCUUAUAUUCAAUUUCCUUUACUAGUGACCGGAGCUGUGCAGACUUUGAUAGGCGGCAUUCUGGGAUUGAUUUUUUUAAAGUUGAUGCACCUGAUACUACAAAAAGUGUUUUAUGUGCCUCCGUUCUGGCUAAAAAUCAGUUUUUUCCCCUUGCCUUAUGUAAGUCUUUUCCUGGCCGUGCUGAUUUUGGUGGGGAUAAUUAGUGGGUUCGUGGCUGGACAAAGCCCUGGUACCGGCUAAGAGGAAGCAUCGACAACAUUUGCUGAUCCAUUAUCAAUUACCAUUCUCAACUUUUUGAGUUGAAAAAAAUGUUCAAUAUUUUCACGCGAUUAUAGACCUGACCUGUCAGAGUAUCCAGUUUUCGGGAAACGAUCAACGUUGGCAUAAAUCGCCAAAAAUUGUCUAAAUCAACCUUGUUUUGGUCAUUUGAACAUUAGAAAAUUCGAAUUUGUUUCGGAUUUCGAUAUUCGAAUUUCGGAUUUCUUAACAUUCGGAACUCCGAAAGUUGAGUCAGAUAUUAAAGGAGCAUGAGCUAGCAAGUUUAGUGAGGUGCUCGGUGAGAGCGUGCCUUUUGCAUAAUGGGCCAGCGAGUUAAUCUGCAGUGCGAGGUUAAGCUGUAAAGCGGAGCCGUAGCGAAAGCGAGUCUGAAUAGGGCGAAUUAGUACUGCGGAUUAGACCCGAAGCCGAGUGAUCUAUCCAUGGGCAGGGUGAAGCCCCGGUAACACGGGGUGGAGGCCCGAACCAGUGAAGGUUGAAAACUUCUUGGAUGACCUGUGGAUAGGGGUGAAAGGCCAAUCAAACUCGGUGAUAGCUGGUUCUCCCCGAAAUAUAUUGAGGUAUAGCCUCGGGUGUUUACUUGCGGAGGUAGAGCACUGAAAGGGCUAGGGGCCCCACCAGGUUACCAAACCCUAUCAAACUCCGAAUGCCGUAAGUAUAAGCCCGGGAGUCAGACUAUGGGUGAGAAGGUCCAUGGUCGAGAGGGAAACAGCCCAGACCGUCGGCUAAGGUCCCCAAAUCCAUGCUAAGUGGGAAAGGAGGUGGAACCGCCCAGACAGCCAGGAGGUUGGCUUAGAAGCAGCCAUCCUUUAAAGAAAGCGUAAUAGCUCACUGGUCUAGUGGUUCUGCGCCGAAGAUGUAACGGGGCUAAGCAUGGUACCGAAGCCACGGGUCGAUUCUAAGGAAUCGGCGGUAGGGGAGCGUUCUCCUAAGGGAUGAAGGUAUGCCGUGAGGUAUGCUGGACUAAGGAGAAGUGAUAAUGCUGGCAUGAGUAACGAUAAAACGGGUGAGAAACCCGUUCGCCGUAAACCCAAGGUUUCCUGGGUAAAGCUAAUCUGCCCAGGGUUAGUCGGCCCCUAAGGCGAGGCCGAAAGGCGUAGCUGAUGGGAAACAGGUUAAUAUUCCUGUACCUGCUGGGUAGUCGUUUGAGCGAAGGGGGGACGCAGAAGGGUAGGUCAGCCACCUGUUGGAAUAGGUGGUUCAAGCCUGUAGGCUGGGGACUCAGGCAAAUCCGGGUCCCUGAUAAGGCUGAGAGGUGAUGACGAGUCAAUAAAGACGGAAGUGACUGAGCCCAUGCUGCCGAGAAAAGCCUCUAAGCGAGACUACCUGGUGGACCGUACCGCAAACCGACACAGGUGGGUGGGGUGAGUAACCCAAGGCGCUUGAGAGAACUCUGGCUAAGGAACUCGGCAAAAUGACCCCGUAACUUCGGGAGAAGGGGUGCUCUUGCGGGUGAAGGGAUUUAACUUCUGGAGCCUGGGAGAGCCGCAGAGAAAUGGCGGGGGCGACUGUUUACUAAAAACACAGGUCUCUGCUAAGUCGUAAGACGAAGUAUAGGGACUGACGCCUGCCCGGUGCCGGAAGGUUAAGGGGAUCAGUUAGCCUUCGGGCGAAGCUGUGAACCGAAGCCCCGGUAAACGGCGGCCGUAACUAUAACGGUCCUAAGGUAGCGAAAUUCCUUGUCGGGU